CACCGCGGUUAUACGAGAGGCCCAAGUUGACAGACACCGGCGUAAAGCGUGGUUAAGGAAAACUAAAACUAAAGCCGAACACCUUCAGGGCAGUUAUACGCAUCUGUAAGGCAUGAAGUCCAAUCACGAAAGUGGCUUUACACUACCUGACUCCACGAAAGCUAUGGCA
RNAcentral lists this ribosomal RNA (169 nucleotides) under Epinnula magistralis (domine). RNAcentral describes it as "partial 12S rRNA". The record is from RNAcentral. Lineage: Eukaryota; Metazoa; Chordata; Actinopteri; Scombriformes; Gempylidae.